GAGAACGCUGGCGGCGUGGAUUAGGCAUGCAAGUCGAACGGUAGGAUACCUUCGGGUAUCUGAGAGUGGCGAACGGGUGAGUAACACGUAGGUGAUCUACCCUCAAGAUUGGGACAACCCGAGGGAAACUUGGGCUAAUACCGGAUGAAAGCAGCAGUGAUGUUGUUUGAAAGGUGGCGUAAGCUGCCGUUUGGGGAUGAGCCUGCGCUCUAUUAGUUAGUUGGCGGGGUAAAGGCCCACCAAGGCGAUGAUAGAUAGGCGGCCUUAACGGGUGGUCGCCCACACUGGGAUUGAGAUACGGCCCAGACUCCUACGGGAGGCAGCAGUCGAGAAUAGUCUACAAUGGCCGAAAGGCUGAUAGUGCGACGCCGCGUGAACGAAGAAGCCGUUUCGGGGUGUAAAGUUCUUUUAUAUGUGAGCAGUGCUUUCUAUGUGAACAGCAUGGGGAGAGAGAUAUUAGCAUAUGAAUAAGCAACGGCUAACUCCGUG
RNAcentral lists this ribosomal RNA (489 nucleotides) under uncultured bacterium. Its description in RNAcentral is "bacterial SSU rRNA". It matches the Rfam family "Bacterial small subunit ribosomal RNA", at positions 31 to 507 of the family's 1533-position model. The record is from RNAcentral.